UACGGAAGGCAGCAGUGGGGAAUAUUGCACAAUGGGCGCAAGCCUGAUGCAGCCAUGCCGCGUGUAUGAAGAAGGCCUUCGGGUUGUAAAGUACUUUCAGUCGUGAGGAAGGUGUUAAGGUUAAUAACCUUAGCAAUUGACGUUAGCGACAGAAGAAGCACCGGCUAACUCCGUGCCAGCAGCCGCGGUAAUACGGAGGGUGCGAGCGUUAAUUGGAAUUACUGGGCGUAAAGGGCACGCAGGCGGUUAAUUAAGUUGGAUGUGAAAUCCCCGGGCUUAACCUGGGAAUGGCAUUCAAGACUGGUUAGCUAGAGUCUUGUAGAGGGGGUAGAAUUCCAUGUGUAGCGGUGAAAUGCGUAGAGAUGUGGAGGAAUACCGGUGGCGAAGGCGGCCCCUGGACAAAGGCUGACGCUCAUGUGCGAAAGCGUGGGGAGCAAACAGGGAUUAGAUACC
RNAcentral lists this ribosomal RNA (453 nucleotides) under uncultured bacterium. RNAcentral's name for it is "bacterial SSU rRNA". It matches the Rfam family "Bacterial small subunit ribosomal RNA", at positions 340 to 786 of the family's 1533-position model. The record is from RNAcentral.